Molecule: transfer RNA, 73 nt
Filed under: Xenopus tropicalis (tropical clawed frog)
Lineage: Eukaryota; Metazoa; Chordata; Amphibia; Anura; Pipidae
Description: Xenopus (Silurana) tropicalis (western clawed frog) tRNA
Rfam family: tRNA
About the family: Transfer RNA (tRNA) molecules are approximately 80 nucleotides in length. Their secondary structure includes four short double-helical elements and three loops (D, anti-codon, and T loops).
Source: Rfam by way of RNAcentral
GACUGCCUUGCCUAAUGGAUAAGGUGUCUGGUUUUGGAACAGAAAUUUGAGAGUUCGAGUCCCUCUGUAGUUG